Molecule: long non-coding RNA, 601 nt
Filed under: Cercocebus atys (sooty mangabey)
Lineage: Eukaryota; Metazoa; Chordata; Mammalia; Primates; Cercopithecidae
Description: lncRNA (ENSCATG00000045480.1)
Source: RNAcentral
ACAACUGAUUUAGGAGGUAAUGCCAUGUUGAUCCCUUUCUUUUUCCACUGUUAGUUACUACAGAAGAAUUCUCUGGGACAACUGCUAUAUCUAGAACGUCCCACACUGGUAGGUUGAUAAGCAGGAAAUCUCCAUGUUUAACCAUAUAAUAUAGUUUUAGAGCUGCUUUGAUGAAAUACCAACCUCAUUCUUUUCCCAAUAUCCCAAAUUCUGAUCUCACCAUUCAUCACUUCCUCCCCCAGAGGCCACAACUUUAAUAGAAGGCCGCAGCAUUCCUCCAUCUGGAUCCAGCCCAGCCACCACUGGGGUAGCUCCUGGCACAACUGUUGCACCUGGCAGUUCCAACACAGGUGGGUCCCUGAGGUGGCACAUUCCUCCACGAGUCCAUCUAUGACAAAUUCUCCUCCAGUGUUACCCUGGGUAGGAGAACUACCAUAGGUUUUCCAUGGUGUUGAAAUAUUGUUCAUCACUUCUGUCCUGUUUUCCUCUUUCUCAGAGGCCACAACUUCUGUAGGAGAAAGAGAAACAACAAAAGCUGAAAUAAUCACAGGUGAGCUCUGUUAAGGUAUUAACUAUUCCUGAAACCUUCCCAAGAAUCUGG